CCUACGGGAGGCAGCAGUGAGGAAUAUUGCUCAAUGGACGAAAGUCUGAAGCAGCAACGCCGCGUGAGGGAUGACGGUGCUUCGCAUUGUAAACCUCUGUAGUUGGGGACAAACGGCGGCCUACCGGCCGCGUGAUGGUACCCAAAAAGUAAGGAUCGGCUAACUACGUGCCAGCAGCCGCGGUAAUACGUAGGAUCCAAGCGUUGUCCGGAUUUACUGGGUGUAAAGGGUGCGCAGGCGGACGUGCAAGUCAGUGGUGAAAUCUCUCGGCUUAACCGAGAAACUGCCUCUGAUACUGCUCGUCUUGAAUCAGCGAGAGAGUCGUGGAAUUCCGAGUGUAGCAGUGAAAUGUGUAGAUAUUCGGAAGAACACCAGUGGCGAAGGCAGCGACUUGGCGCUCGAUUGACGCUCAGGCACGAAAGCAUGGGGAUCAAACAGGA
This 440-nucleotide ribosomal RNA is filed under the name uncultured bacterium. Its description in RNAcentral is "bacterial SSU rRNA". It matches the Rfam family "Bacterial small subunit ribosomal RNA", at positions 338 to 777 of the family's 1533-position model. The record is from RNAcentral.